Canis lupus familiaris (dog) is the source of this 794-nucleotide long non-coding RNA. RefSeq lists it as uncharacterized. NCBI's taxonomy places the organism in Eukaryota, Metazoa, Chordata, Mammalia, Carnivora, Canidae. The transcript has 2 exons. The record is from RefSeq and is a predicted model, not a curated record.
AACAUUCCAUGGAACUGCAUAAUGACCUCAGCUGUGAGGAAGCUCCUGCCUCCUUAGGGGUGGACCAUGGAAAGGAAAGCUGAGAGGCAGGGGACCCUUCCACCACUGCAAGCAGUGGCAACAGUGGCCAGUGCUAAGAUCUGCGGUUGUCACAGGUCAACUUCCAGUUUUCCACUGCAUUGACAUGAAUGUUUGUACAGAUGUUUCUGCCUACCUUUGCAACUGUCUUCUCAAAAAUACAUCUGCUACCAGCAGCAUCUCUGGAGUGCUCCUUCGAUGCCGGGCACUGCGCUGAGUGCUGUGUGAUCCCAUUAAAUCCUCACACUCACCCGGGAAGCAGGGAUUGUGCAAAUGAGGGGACGAGACUUUGGAGAGGCUGAGAACUGUCUGUAGCCUCCUCAGUGGUAAGUCAUGAGCUGGGCUUUGAACCCAGGUGAGGCUGAGUCCAGAGUCUGACACGCCAAGCAGAGGACAAGCCACCAGGUGGGCCUGACAGACAAGACCUUCCCGAGGGCACAGAUGGCUCCUUCUUGAGAAGACCGAGCCUCUCAGCGAUCAUCUGGAGUAGAUCGGAGUCGAAAGUGCAGUGGUGGCGGGGCCCAGGCAGGUUAUGUGACUGAGGGAGACGGGAUGGGUGUCAGACAACAGGGAGCAGUGUGGAGUGUGGCAGAGUGGGGACUUCCUGCCCCAUCCAAAGUGGCAUCAGCUACUCACUGAGUAUCCUACAUUGGAAAGCUGUCCUGGUUUUUCAACAGGAGCUGGAAAUCAAAUAAUAAAGUCUUCUUAUAUAUAAA